CAGCAGCCGCGGUAAUACGUAGGGGGCAAGCGUUGUCCGGAAUUAUUGGGCGUAAAGCGCGCGCAGGCGGUCAUGUAAGUCUGGUGUUUAAUCCCGGGGCUCAACCCCGGAUCGCACUGGAAACUGGGUGACUUGAGUGCAGAAGAGGAGAGUGGAAUUCCACGUGUAGCGGUGAAAUGCGUAGAGAUGUGGAGGAACACCAGUGGCGAAGGCGACUCUCUGGGCUGUAACUGACGCUGAGGCGCGAAAGCGUGGGGAGCAAACAGGAUUAGAGACCCGUGUAGUCCCUGUCUCUUAUACA
RNAcentral lists this ribosomal RNA (301 nucleotides) under uncultured bacterium. Its description in RNAcentral is "partial 16S ribosomal RNA". It matches the Rfam family "Bacterial small subunit ribosomal RNA", at positions 509 to 808 of the family's 1533-position model. The record is from RNAcentral.